AGUAGCUGCGAGCGAACAGGGAAGAGCCCAGCACCGAAUCCCGCAGGCUUCGCCUGUAGGGAAAUGUGGUGUUAGGGAGGACCCAGUUCUCCAGGUAUGUGUAGUGUGUCCAAGUCCAUUUUGAAUGAGGCCACGGCCCAGAGAGGGUGCCAGGCCCGUAGUGACCAUUGACAUAUUCCUGGAGGGUCUCUCCUCAGAGUCGGGUUGCUUGAGAAUGCAGCCCUAAGUGGGUGGUAAACUCCAUCUAAGGCUAAAUAUGACCACGAGACCGAUAGCGAACAAGUACCAUGGGGGAAAGUUGAAAAGAACUUUGAAGAGAGAGUUCAAGAGUACGUGAAACCGUUCAGGGGUAAACGGGAGACAUCCAGAAUUCGAAUGGGGCCUGGAUUCAUGUCGAACUGUCUGACAGCUAUGUCGCUCACCAGAUAACGAUGGACACCCGCGGCGAUUUAUUUCGUUGGCGGUGAUGUUCCCAACGUGCACUCGGUGUAGCGACGAUGAAAUCAUUGUAGAUGGUCGGCUGCAAUUCCCCCCUAAGUAGAAACGUUGCGACCCGUUGGGAACUGGUCAAAGGCCUCGGUUGGCAGACCAUGUGUCCUGUGGCGUUUUGGUACCCACAGGCAUGUGCGACACCGGGUGACCUGGCCGGUACUCGACGGUAUGAUCAGAGGAGUAGAUCCGCUAAAAAUGGAAACACUAUGGUUGUGAAGCGUCCGGCCUGGUUCCGAUGCGUGCAGGAUUGUGGUGCAAACCGGGGGAGUGCGUGCAGUGAACGCUCCCGGCCCUGUUACGUGUUUGGUCCUGGUGUCCUCGGACUGGAUCUGUACUCCCGUCUGCGACGCCCAUCUUCGGAUGGUCUCCCGACCCGUCUUGAAACACGGACCAAGGAGUCUAACAUGUGCGCGAGUCAUUGGGUAUGACUAAACCUAAAGGCGUAAUGAAAGUGAAAGCCACUUUGGAGUGGGUGGCCGAGGGAAGAUGGUUAUGGGUUUCCGGUAUCCUUGUGUUACUGGUUCCCUGCCCGCAUUCCCGGGGCGUCUCAACCUCACUGCGAGGUGAGGCGCACCUAGAGCGUACACGUUGGGACCCGAAAGAUGGUGAACUAUGCCUGGCCAGGACGAAGUCAGGGGAAACCCUGAUGGAGGUCCGUAGCGUUUCUGACGUGCAAAUCGAUCGUAUGAGCUGGGUAUAGGGGCGAAAGACCAAUCGAACCAUCUGGUAGCUGGUUCCCUCCGAAGUUUCCCUCAGGAUAGCUGAUGCUCGGAGUAAAAUGGAAAAAGUCUCAUACGGUAAAGCGAAUGAUUAGAGGCCUUGGGGUCGAAACGACCUCAACCUAUUCUCAAACUGUAAAUGGGUGAGAUCUCCGGCUUGCUUGAGUACUGAAGCCGGAGACGGAUGAGAGUGUCAAGUGGGCCACUUUUGGUAAGCAGAACUGGCGCUGUGGGAUGAACCAAACGCCGAGUUAAGGCGCCUAAAUCGACGCUCAUGGGAAACCAUGAAAGGUGUUGGUUGCUUAAGACAGCAGGACGGUGGCCAUGGAAGUAGGAAUCCGCUAAGGAGUGUGUAACAACUCACCUGCCGAAGCAAGUAGCCCUGAAAAUGGAUGGCGCUAAAGCGUCGUGCCUAUACUCGGCCGUCAGUGGCAUUGGGAGUAUCCGUCGGCUUUGAGCCCUCGGAACUCGAAGAAGCUCUGAUGAGUAGGAGGGUCGCGGCGGUGAGCGCAGAAGGGCAUGGCGUGGGCCUGCCUGGAGCCGCCGUCGGUGCAGAUCUUGGUGGUAGUAGCAAAUACUCUUAUGAGGACCUUGAGGACCGAUGCUGAGGCGGGUUCCGUGUGAACAGCAGUUGAACACGGGUUAGUCGAUCCUAAGCCCUAGAUGAAGGUUGAUGCCGAUGGGUGGUCGAAUGGUGUUGGCCGAUACCCUCGGCGGGCGAAAGGGAAUCAGGUUAAUAUUCCUGAACCCGGCACGGAACCGUUCCAAAUCGAGCCCUCGCGAGUUCGUCGGGGUAACCCGAAAUAACCCGGAGAAGCCGUCGGGAGGUCUGGAGAGAGUUUUCUUUUCUCUGUAUGCGAACAGGUACCCUGGAAUUCUAUAGCAGAGAGAUAGGGUAUAGGACGCGAAGAGCACCGCAGUUGCUGCGGUGUCCAGAUCUUCCCCACGGACCAUGAAAAUCCAGGAGAGGGCCACGGGAACAUCCGUGCCGGCUCGUACC
RNAcentral lists this ribosomal RNA (2211 nucleotides) under Hyrtacus sp. n. A JAR-2018. Its description in RNAcentral is "partial 28S ribosomal RNA". It matches the Rfam family "Eukaryotic large subunit ribosomal RNA", at positions 82 to 1848 of the family's 3401-position model. The record is from RNAcentral. Lineage: Eukaryota; Metazoa; Arthropoda; Insecta; Phasmatodea; Lonchodidae.